Molecule: ribosomal RNA, 253 nt
Filed under: uncultured bacterium
Lineage: Bacteria
Description: partial 16S ribosomal RNA
Rfam family: Bacterial small subunit ribosomal RNA
Source: RNAcentral
UACGUAGGUGGCAAGCGUUGUCCGGAUUUACUGGGUGUAAAGGGCGAGUAGGCGGGAUUGCAAGUCAGUAGUGAAAUACCACGGCUUAACUGUGGAGCUGCUAUUGAAACUGCGAUUCUUGAGUGAUGGAGAGGCAGGCGGAAUUCCCGGAGUAGCGGUGAAAUGCGUAGAGAUCGGGAGGAACACCAGUGGCGAAGGCGGCCUGCUGGACAUUAACUGACGCUGAGGCGCGAAAGCGUGGGGAGCAAACAGG